GUAACAAGGUUUCCGUAGGUGAACCUGCGGAAGGAUCAUUAACGAAUAACUAUGGUGUCUCAGGUUGUAGCUGGCUCCUCGGAGCAAUGUGCACGCCCGCCAUUUUUAUCUUUCCACCUGUGCACCGACUGUAGGUCUGGAUACCUCUCGCCGCAAGGCGGAUGCGAGGGUUGCUCGUGAAGGGCUCCCCUCGAACUUCCAGGCUCUACGUCUUUUUACACACCCCAAUAGUAUGAUGCAGAAUGUAGUCAAUGGGCUUCACAGCCUAUAAAACACUAUACAACUUUCAGCAACGGAUCUCUUGGCUCUCGCAUCGAUGAAGAACGCAGCGAAAUGCGAUAAGUAAUGUGAAUUGCAGAAUUCAGUGAAUCAUCGAAUCUUUGAACGCACCUUGCGCUCCUUGGUAUUCCGAGGAGCAUGCCUGUUUGAGUGUCAUUAAAUUCUCAACCUCACCCGUUUUCUGAACGGGGUCGAGGCUUGGAUGUGGGGGUUUGUGCAGGCUGCCUUCACUGGCGGUCUGCUCCCCUGAAAUGCAUUAGCGAGGUUCAUGCUGAACUUCCGUCUAUUGGUGUGAUAAUUAUCUACGCCGUGGACGAGGAUCAGACUCGCUUCUAACCGUCCGCGAGGACAAUACCUUGACAAUUUGACCUCAAAUCAGGUAGGACUACCCGCUGAACUUAAGC
RNAcentral lists this unclassified non-coding RNA (683 nucleotides) under Coprinellus domesticus. RNAcentral describes it as "sequence contains 18S rRNA gene, ITS1, 5.8S rRNA gene, ITS2, 28S rRNA gene". The stretch from base 282 to 435 matches the Rfam family "5.8S ribosomal RNA". The record is from RNAcentral. Lineage: Eukaryota; Fungi; Basidiomycota; Agaricomycetes; Agaricales; Psathyrellaceae.